This 204-nucleotide ribosomal RNA is filed under the name Staphylococcus saprophyticus. RNAcentral describes it as "partial 16S ribosomal RNA". It matches the Rfam family "Bacterial small subunit ribosomal RNA", at positions 327 to 523 of the family's 1533-position model. Lineage: Bacteria; Bacillati; Bacillota; Bacilli; Caryophanales; Staphylococcaceae. The record is from RNAcentral.
CGGUCCAGACUCCUACGGGAGGCAGCAGUAGGGAUUUUUCCCCAAUGGGCGAAAGCCUGACGGAGCAACGCCGCGUGAGUGAUGAAGGGUUUCGGCUCGUAAAACUCUGUUAUUAGGGAAGAACAAAUGUGUAAGUAACUGUGCACGUCUUGACGGUACCUAAUCAGAAAGCCACGGCUAACUACGUGCCAGCAGCCGCGGUAA